UACUGCUAUCGGUGUUCGACUAAGCCAUGCUAGUUAAAUGUUCUUCGUGAACAUAGCGGACUGCUCANUAACACGUGGACAAUCUGCCCUUGGGUUCAGCAUAACCCCGGGAAACUGGGGAUAAUUCUGAAUAGAUCACAUAUGCUGGAAUGCUUUGUGAUUAAAAGAUCCGUCGCCCAAGGAUGGGUCUGCGGCCUAUCAGGUUGUAGUGGGUCUAGAGUACCUACUAGCCAACGACGGGUACGGGUUGUGAGAGCAAGAGCCCGGAGAUGGAUUCUGAGACAUGAAUCCAGGCCCUACGGGGCGCAGCAGGCGCGAAAUCUUUACAAUGCGGGAAACCGCGAUAAGGGGACACUGAGUGCCAGCAUAUUAUGUUGGCUGUCCACCUGUAUAAAUCACAGGUGUUAGCAAGGGCCGGGCAAGACCGGUGCCAGCCGCCGCGGUAACACCGGCGGCCCGAGUGGUAGCCACUAUUAUUGGGUCUAAAGGGUCCGUAGCCGGUUUGAUCAGUCUUCCGGGAAAUCUGACAGCUCAACUG
RNAcentral lists this ribosomal RNA (538 nucleotides) under uncultured archaeon. Its description in RNAcentral is "bacterial SSU rRNA". It matches the Rfam family "Archaeal small subunit ribosomal RNA", at positions 25 to 565 of the family's 1478-position model. The record is from RNAcentral.